UACGUAGGCAGCGAGCGUUGUUCGGAGUUACUGGGCGUAAAGGGUGCGUAGGCGGUUGUUUAAGUUUGGUGUGAAAUCUCCCGGCUCAACUGGGAGGGUGCGCCGAAUACUGAAUGACUAGAGUGCGGGAGAGGAGAGUGGAAUUCCUGGUGUAGCGGUGAAAUGCGUAGAUAUCAGGAGGAACACCGGUGGCGAAGGCGGGUCUCUGGGCCGUAACUGACGCUGAGGAGCGAAAGCGUGGGGAGCGAACAGG
This 253-nucleotide ribosomal RNA is filed under the name uncultured bacterium. RNAcentral's name for it is "partial 16S ribosomal RNA". It matches the Rfam family "Bacterial small subunit ribosomal RNA", at positions 524 to 776 of the family's 1533-position model. The record is from RNAcentral.